CCUACGGGAGGCAGCAGUGGGGAAUAUUGGACAAUGGGGGAAACCCUGAUCCAGCGACGCCGCGUGUGUGAAGAAGGCCUGCGGGUUGUAAAGCACUUUUAGUGGGGAUGAAAUGUGCAGGGCUAAUACCUCUGCAUUUGACCUA
RNAcentral lists this ribosomal RNA (145 nucleotides) under uncultured bacterium. RNAcentral describes it as "partial 16S ribosomal RNA". It matches the Rfam family "Bacterial small subunit ribosomal RNA", at positions 338 to 476 of the family's 1533-position model. The record is from RNAcentral.